This 636-nucleotide ribosomal RNA is filed under the name uncultured marine eukaryote. RNAcentral's name for it is "SSU rRNA". It matches the Rfam family "Eukaryotic small subunit ribosomal RNA", at positions 618 to 1258 of the family's 1831-position model. The record is from RNAcentral.
GUUAAAAAGCUCGUAGUUGGAUUUCUGUCGAGGGCGGCCGGUCCGCACUAUGUGCGUGUAUCUGGUUCGGUCUUGGCAUCCUCUUGGGGAACGUUUCUGUGCUUGAGCGCAUGGAGGCGGAAUUCAAGACUUUUACUUUGAGGAAAUUAGAGUGUUCACGGCAAGCUAUCGCUUUGAAUACAUUAGCAUGGAAUAAUAAUAUAGGGCGUAAGUUCUAUUUUGUUGGUUUCUAGGACGUACGCAAUGAUUAAUAGGGAUAAUUGGGGGCAUUCGUAUUAACGCGUCAGAGGUGGAAUUCUUAGAUUGCGUUACGACGAACUACUGCGAAAGCAUUUGCCCAGGAUGUUUUCAUUGAUCAAGAACGAAAGUAUGGGGAUCGAAGACGAUUAGAUACCGUCGUAGUCUAUACCAUAAACUAUGCCAACUAGGGAUUGGAGGUCGUUCUUUUAUGACUCUUUCAGCAUCUUAUGAGAGAUCAAAGUCUUUGGGUUCCGGGGGGAGUAUGGUCGCAAGGCUGAAACUUAAAGGAAUUGACGGAAGGGCACCACCAGGAGUGGAGCCUGCGGCUUAAUUUGACUCAACACGGGAAAACUUACCAGGUCCAGACAUAGUAAGGAUUGACAGAUUGAUAGCUCU